GGAGGGUUGGCAGAGUGGACGAAUGCACCUCAUUGCUAAUGAGGCGUGCGGAAACGCACCAAAGGUUCGAAUCCUUUAUCCUCCG
RNAcentral lists this transfer RNA (85 nucleotides) under Caudoviricetes sp. RNAcentral describes it as "tRNA-Ser". It matches the Rfam family "tRNA". Rfam says of the family: Transfer RNA (tRNA) molecules are approximately 80 nucleotides in length. Lineage: Duplodnaviria; Heunggongvirae; Uroviricota; Caudoviricetes. The record is from RNAcentral.